This 578-nucleotide small RNA is filed under the name Pan troglodytes (chimpanzee). Its description in RNAcentral is "retained intron". Lineage: Eukaryota; Metazoa; Chordata; Mammalia; Primates; Hominidae. The record is from RNAcentral.
AUUAUGAUUUUUGUCAAAUCGAUUUUAAAAUAUGAUCAGUGUAUUUUUAGUAAUGAAUCACUGAGUACAUUCUUAUUCCUUUCAGGCUGGGGAGGGUGCAUUGCCUCAUGAAUUCUUGGAAGGUGUGGAGGGAGUUGCAGGUGGUUUUAUAUAUACUAUUCAGGAAGGUGAUGCUCUCUUACACAACCUUCAUUCUCGCCCUCAAAGACUUAUUGAUCAUAUAAGGAAUCUCCAUGAGGAAGAUGCCUUACUGAAGGAGGAAAGCAGCAUCUAUGAUGAUAUUGUUUUUGUGGAUGUUGUCGACACUUAUCGUAAUGUUCCUGCAAAAUUAUUGAACUUCUAUAGAUGGACUGUGGAAACAACAAGCUUCAAUUUGUUGCUGAAGACAGAUGAUGACUGUUACAUAGACCUCGAAGCUGUAUUUAAUAGGAUUGUCCAAAAGAAUCUGGAUGGGCCUAAUUUUUGGUGGGGAAAUUUCAGACUGAAUUGGGCAGUUGACCGAACCGGAAAGUGGCAGGAGUUGGAGUACCCGAGCCCCGCUUACCCUGCCUUUGCAUGUGGGUCAGGAUAUGUGAUCU